UCUGAAUGGGACACCUUAGCAAUCACCCAUAAACUUUGUUGUGAUGUUCCUACAAAUUUGUUCCAUACGUGUUGUUUUGUUCUUCAAGUGCCUGGUGGAUGAUAAGGUCAGUGGCUACCCCUUCUAAUUCUUCUCCUUGUCCUCAGGGCUUCCCAGUGCACUCUGGGCAGCCACUGACUAAUUAAAUCAUCCCACAAAGGUAUCCUGCAUGACACACAAUGCUGACCCUAAAUGCGAACUCCUGGGUAGGCAUUCAAGAGAGGGACCAGGUCUGACAUUUCUCAGCAUCAGGACUCGGCACCUAUUCUAAAGCUUUUUUUCCCAAAGGUGUGCUGUACUAAUUCAGAGGCUUUGCUCAUAUGUUUCUAAGCAAACAUGGAAGGAACCUGGUCAGCUUGCAAAUGGACAAGGCCCUCCCCAGUCCUGAUGUGGUGAUGCAGCCUGGCUACACCCUCCAGGCUCAUCAGGAAUGACAGCUUUGCCCUGUGGGAGUUCUGCGGGUGCUUAAGGACCAGGACACAAAGCUGCAAGUGCCCAGCGACAGUCAUCUUCGCCUAUGCAUGUGGCGUGAUGAGGAAUCAGAGGACGUUUUAUAAGACGGGAAGAAGGCAAUUUGGCUUCAUGUGACACCUUUCAUGCUCAAAGAAUCCCAACAGCGAAAUACUCAUGAAGAAUAAAAUGCUUACACUUUGUAAGUGAGAGAGUGGAGUUGCGGCAAUGAGGCUGGAAAUGGAAAAGAGCUCAAACCAAGCACGAGUUGGAACCAAACUUUAGCUAGGUCUCCAGGCAAUUGAGAUCCCAGCAUGCGGCGGCAAUUGAGACGAGGAGGAUCUUUUCAGAUGUCUUAAGUGGCCGAAGUGAAGCCCCUCCAGAGCUGCUGUGGUUGACGAUCACCCUGCCGCCAGCUGCUUCCUUCAGGUGAGAGGUUACUGGAAAAGUCAACAACAGCAGUGGAGGAGGAAGGUAGGUGUGUGGAGGUGGAGAGGGGAGUCUGCGGCUUCAAAGUGUGCAGCGUGGUGGGCCUCCUGGAGAAGGUGAUGUGGGCCAAGACAAGGAGUUUAUCUUCUAUUUCAAAAUGAGGAAGACAGGGCACAUCUGACGAUAAGACUCUCGGAUCUCCUGCUGAUGGGUUUUAGUGAUACUUGGAAAGACGCUUACUGCUAUGCUCAAGUCUCCAGGAAAAUGAUUCCCAAUUCUGAGAGGAUGCGUGUACACAUGAGAAACGAGGUUGAGGUUGACUUUCAUGACAGUGCAAAAGGGUUAUCAAUACUAAUAAAAUGUGUGAACAGGAGGAAGUCCAAACUGAGAUACCACUUUUGGUGACACAGUGUCUUAGGGAAAAUGCGUAUGGCCAGGAAAUAACAAACUGAUGCUAUGAUCCCAUUGCCUUUCUGUAUCUAAAUAUUUACAAAACAAGGCUCAAGAGAUCACUUUCUCUGAGCCAUGUGAAGACACAGCAAGAAGGUGGCAAGCCAGGAUGCACUCACCAGGAACCAAAUGUGUUGGCACCUUGAUGUUAGAUUUCCA
RNAcentral lists this long non-coding RNA (1527 nucleotides) under Homo sapiens (human). RNAcentral describes it as "HSALNT0270116". The record is from RNAcentral. Lineage: Eukaryota; Metazoa; Chordata; Mammalia; Primates; Hominidae.